Molecule: long non-coding RNA, 285 nt
Filed under: Nicotiana benthamiana
Lineage: Eukaryota; Viridiplantae; Streptophyta; Magnoliopsida; Solanales; Solanaceae
Description: long non-coding RNA (NBEN_LNC022798)
Source: RNAcentral
AGAAGUAAGACCCUAAAAGACGUCGCCUUUGUUUUAUUGGCUGGGUCGUGCCCUCACUCAGGUCGGCCUUACCGUAAUGGACGUACCCACUUGGCGUAGGGACGUUAGGAGCCAAAUUUUACCCAAUACAGAACUCAACGUACAUAUCACUAGAGUUGGAUUGUUUGAGCUGCUGUCUUGUCACCCAUCUCAUGUCCCAUGCAUCCCAUGUAGGAUUAAAGGUUAAGCUUCUCCCACUGUUGCACAAUAUUUUCACUGUGGCAGAGCUAAUCCACCGAUGAAAGA